GACAGAGGGUGCAAACGUUGUUCGGAAUUACUGGGCGUAAAGCGCGUGUAGGCGGCCAUGCAAGUCGGAUGUGAAAGCCCUCGGCUCAACCGGGGAAGUGCACUCGAAACUGCAAGGCUAGAGUCUCGGAGAGGAUCGUGGAAUUCUCGGUGUAGAGGUGAAAUUCGUAGAUAUUCGGAAGAACACCAGUGGCGAAGGCGGCUCACUGGCCCGUUACCGACGCUCAGGCGCGACAGCGUGGGGAGCAAACAGG
RNAcentral lists this ribosomal RNA (253 nucleotides) under uncultured bacterium. Its description in RNAcentral is "partial 16S ribosomal RNA". It matches the Rfam family "Bacterial small subunit ribosomal RNA", at positions 524 to 776 of the family's 1533-position model. The record is from RNAcentral.